Molecule: ribosomal RNA, 497 nt
Filed under: uncultured bacterium
Lineage: Bacteria
Description: partial 16S ribosomal RNA
Rfam family: Bacterial small subunit ribosomal RNA
Source: RNAcentral
GAUGAACGCUGGCGGCGUGCCUAAUACACGCAAGUCGAGCGAACGGACGAGAAGCUUGCUUCUCUGAUGUUAGCGGCGGACGGGUGAGUAACACGUGGAUAACCUACCUAUAAGACUGGGAUAACUUCGGGAAACCGGAGCUCAUACCGGAUGAUAUUUUGAACCGCAUGGUUCAAAAGUGAAAGACGGUCUUGCUGUAACUUAUAGAUGGAUCCGCGCUGCAUUAGCUAGUUGGGAAGGUAACGGCUUACCAAGGCAACGAUGCAUAGCCGACCUGAGAGGGUGAUGGGCCACACGGGAACUGGGACACGGUCCAGACUCCUACGGGAGGCAGCAGUAGGGAAUCUUCCGCAAUGGGCGAAAGCCUGACGGGGCAACGCCGCGGGGGUGAUGAAGGUCUUCGGAUCGUAAAACUCUGUUAUUAGGGAAGAACAUAUGUGUAAGUAACUGUGCACAUCGUGACGGUACCUAAUCAGAAAGCCACGGCUAACUACGUG